Molecule: ribosomal RNA, 134 nt
Filed under: Neogale vison (American mink)
Lineage: Eukaryota; Metazoa; Chordata; Mammalia; Carnivora; Mustelidae
Source: RNAcentral
UCUAACGGCCAUACCACCCUGAACACGCCCGAUCUCGUCUGAUCUCGGAAGCUAAGCAGGGUCGGGCCUGGUUAGUACUUGGAUGGAAGAGUCACACAUGCUCUAGUGACUGAGCCAGCCAGGCACCACUUUUU